GUGGGGAAUAUUGGACAAUAGGCGAAAGCCUGAUCCAGCCAUGCCGCGUGUGUGAAGAAGGUCUUCGGAUUGUAAAGCACUUUAAGUUGGGAGGAAGGGCAGUAAGUUAAUACCUUGCUGUUUUGACGUUACCAACAGAAUAAGCACCGGCUAACUUCGUGCCAGCAGCCGCGGUAAUACGAAGGGUGCAAGCGUUAAUCGGAAUUACUGGGCGUAAAGCGCGCGUAGGUGGUUCAGCAAGUUGAAGGUGAAAUCCCCGGGCUCAACCUGGGAACUGCCUCCAAAACUACUGAGCUAGAGUACGGUAGAGGGUAGUGGAAUUUCCUGUGUAGCGGUGAAAUGCGUAGAUAUAGGAAGGAACACCAGUGGCGAAGGCGACUACCUGGACUGAUACUGACACUGAGGUGCGAAAGCGUGGGGAGCAAACAGGAUUAGAAACCCCGGUAGUCC
RNAcentral lists this ribosomal RNA (450 nucleotides) under uncultured bacterium. RNAcentral describes it as "partial 16S ribosomal RNA". It matches the Rfam family "Bacterial small subunit ribosomal RNA", at positions 354 to 796 of the family's 1533-position model. The record is from RNAcentral.